GCGGAGGAAAAGAAACCAACAGGGAUUGCCUCAGUAACGGCGAGUGAAGCGGCAACAGCUCAAAUUUGAAAUCUGGCUCCUUCGGGGUCCGAGUUGUAAUUUGCAGAGGAUGCGUCGGGUACGGGUCCCUACCGAGUUCCCUGGAACGGGACGCCAUAGAGGGUGAGAGCCCCGUCUGGUAGGAUACCCAGCCCAUGUGACGCUCCCUCGACGAGUCGAGUAGUUUGGGAAUGCUGCUCUAACGGGAGGUAUACUCCUUCCAAAGCUAAAUACCGGCUGGAGACCGAUAGCGCACAAGUAGAGUGAUCGAAAGAUGAAAAGCACUUUGAAAAGAGAGUCAAACAGCACGUGAAAUUGUUAAAAGGGAAGCACUCGCUACCAGACUUGGGUUUGGCGGUUCAACCGGGGCCACGCCCCGGGGCAUUCCGCCAGCUCAGGCCAGCAUCAGCUUUCCGUCGGGGGCAAAGACGUCGGGAAUGUGGCUCCCCUUCGGGGGAGUGUUAUAGCCCGGCGUGUCAUACCCUUCGGGGGGCUGAGGUACGCGCUUCUGCAAGGAUGCUGGCGUAAUGGUAGCUAGUGACCCGUCUUGAAACACGGACCAAGGAGUCAACCUUAUGUGCGAGUGCCCGGGCGUAAAACCCCAGCGCGGAAUGAAAGUGAACGUAGGUGAGAGCUUCGGCGCAUCACCGACCGAUCCUGAUGUCCUCGGACGGAUUUGAGUGAGAGCAUAUAGGGUUGGACCCGAAAGAAGAUGAACUAUGCGUGUGUAGGGUGAAGCCAGAGGAAACUCUGGUGGAGGCUCGCAGCGGUUCUGACGUGCAAAUCGA
Molecule: unclassified non-coding RNA, 827 nt
Filed under: Plectosphaerella plurivora
Lineage: Eukaryota; Fungi; Ascomycota; Sordariomycetes; Glomerellales; Plectosphaerellaceae
Description: sequence contains 28S rRNA gene
Rfam family: Eukaryotic large subunit ribosomal RNA
Source: RNAcentral